GGGCCCGCACAAGCGGUGGAGUAUGUGGUUUAAUUCGAUGCAACGCGAAGAACCUUACCAGGGUUUGACAUCCUGCGAAUCUCUUGGAAACUUGAGAGUGCCUUCGGGAGCGCAGUGACAGGUGGUGCAUGGCUGUCGUCAGCUCGUGUCGUGAGAUGUUGGGUUAAGUCCCGCAACGAGCGCAACCCACGUCUUUAGUUGCCAGCAUUUAGUUGGGCACUCUAGAGAGACCGCCGGUGAUAAACCGGAGGAAGGUGUGGAUGACGUCAAGUCAUCAUGCCCCUUACAUCCUGGGCUACACACGUGCUACAAUGGCCGGUACAGAGAGCAGCCACUACGCGAGUAGGCGCG
Molecule: ribosomal RNA, 351 nt
Filed under: uncultured bacterium
Lineage: Bacteria
Description: bacterial SSU rRNA
Rfam family: Bacterial small subunit ribosomal RNA
Source: RNAcentral